GGGAAUAUUGGACAAUGGGCGAAAGCCUGAUCCAGCCAUGCCGCGUGAGUGAUGAAGGCCUUAGGGUUGUAAAGCUCUUUCAGUGGGGACGAUAAUGACGGUACCCACAGAAGAAGCCCCGGCUAACUUCGUGCCAGCAGCCGCGGUAAUACGAAGGGGGCUAGCGUUGUUCGGAUUUACUGGGCGUAAAGCGCACGUAGGCGGAUCGUUAAGUCGGGGGUAAAAUCCCGGGGCUCAACCCCGGAACUGCCUUCGAUACUGGCGAUCUUGAGUCCGGAAGAGGUGAGUGGAACUCCUAGUGUAGAGGUGGAAUUCGUAGAUAUUAGGAAGAACACCAGUGGCGAAGGCGGCUCACUGGACGAUUGUUGACGCUGAGGUGCGAAAGCGUGGGGAGC
Molecule: ribosomal RNA, 395 nt
Filed under: uncultured bacterium
Lineage: Bacteria
Description: bacterial SSU rRNA
Rfam family: Bacterial small subunit ribosomal RNA
Source: RNAcentral